This 459-nucleotide ribosomal RNA is filed under the name uncultured bacterium. RNAcentral's name for it is "partial 16S ribosomal RNA". It matches the Rfam family "Bacterial small subunit ribosomal RNA", at positions 338 to 795 of the family's 1533-position model. The record is from RNAcentral.
CCUACGGGUGGCAGCAGUGAGGAAUAUUGGUCAAUGGCCGAGAGGCUGAACCAGCCAAGUCGCGUGAGGGAUGACGGCCCUACGGGUUGUAAACCUCUUUUGUCGGGGAGCAAAGAGAGUCACGUGUGGCUCAUUGAGAGUACCCGAAGAAAAAGCAUCGGCUAACUCCGUGCCAGCAGCCGCGGUAAUACGGAGGAUGCGAGCGUUAUCCGGAUUUAUUGGGGUUAACGGGUGCGCAGGCGGAGGUGAAACGCAGUGGGCAAAUUGAGGGGCUCAACCCCGUAAUGCCGUUGAAACUGCAUGCCUUGAGUGCGCGAGAAGUAAGCGGAAUGCGUGGUGUAGCGGUGAAAUGCAUAGAUAUCACGCAGAACUCCGAUUGCGAAGGCAGCAUACCGGCGCGCAACUGACGCUCAUGCACGAAAGCGUGGGUAUCGAACAGGAUUAGAUACCCUUGUAGUC